CCCCCCCCCCCUCAUUUCUUUGCAGGUAUGCCUAUGUAACAUCCUCUUGAAGAAACAAACAUUUCGCCUAAACUAAAAACAGUGUCGUCAAAGAGUCACUGAAUCAAAGCAAGUAGAAACAAAAAGAAAAACGAUGUUGCUUCUUCGAUCCUCGAUUCGACGAGCGAGAAAUCUAAAGGCCUUGAAGCCUUCGAUCUUUGCUUUAAGAAGCUCUUAUUGUUUCUCUACUGGUGCAGCUGAGCCUUCUUCAAGCCUACCUAGCCCUCCGAGAGUCCCCAAUCUUAUUGGAGGAAAAUUCGUUGAUUCGCAAUCAUCUUCAACCAUUGAUGUGAUAAAUCCUGCAACACAAGAAGCCGUGUCACCGGUUCCUUUGACUACGAACGAAGAGUUCAGAGCUGCAGUCUCUGCAGCAAAGCAGGCUUUUCCGGCGUGGCGUAACACGCCAAUUACGACUCGUCAGCGUGUCAUGCUCAAGCUCCAAGAGCUUAUUCGUAGAGACAUUGAUAAGCUUGCGAUGAAUAUAACUACUGAACAGGGGAAGACCUUGAAGGAUGCUCAUGGAGAUGUGUUCCGUGGGCUAGAGGUGGUGGAACAUGCUUGUGGAAUGGCGACUUUGCAGAUGGGUGAGUAUGUCCCUAAUGUGUCAAAUGGAAUUGAUACCUUUAGCAUCAGAGAGCCACUUGGUGUAUGUGCUGGGAUUUGCCCUUUCAACUUUCCAGCAAUGAUUCCCUUAUGGAUGUUCCCUGUUGCCGUAACAUGCGGUAACACCUUUAUAUUGAAGCCAUCGGAGAAAGAUCCUGGUGCUUCUAUAAUACUUCCUGAGUUAGCGAGAAGGAGAUAUAGAGGGGAGAUUGAAAGGUUAUCUCGGUGAUAAUGCCGUGGAUGAUGAACUUUAGAUACUGUUGAAUUCUACCAUCAGUUCGAAACAAAAAUCUCAACAUUCGUAAUAGGCUGCUUUGCAGGUGCUGCUCUACUUCUGCCGUGGGUCUCCUUUCUUUCUAAGGCGGCAGAGACAAGUGAAUUGCCAAGAAGGUUUCAAGUAAUUCAAACGGCAGCCUAUCUUGAAAGUCCUACAACUCUUAAACUAAUGCCAAUGAACACAGGCUCCCACUUGAGCCCACAGCAAGAACAAGUCUUUUAGGUCCAUGCAGUGGUUGGAAAUAAACAUUUCAUUACCGUGCAAAGUAACGCCACAGACACACUUAUACCCGCCCUUAUUAACCAAAGAAAUUGUGCAAUUUUCCUAACCCCCAAGCAUUGCAG
Molecule: RNA transcript, 1263 nt
Organism: Populus trichocarpa (black cottonwood)
Lineage: Eukaryota; Viridiplantae; Streptophyta; Magnoliopsida; Malpighiales; Salicaceae
Gene name: methylmalonate-semialdehyde dehydrogenase [acylating], mitochondrial-like
Exons: 10
Source: RefSeq, a predicted model, not a curated record